UACAGAGGGUGCUAGCGUUGUUCGGAAUCAUUGGGCGUAAAGCGUGCGCAGGCGGUUUGUUAAGUCUGAUGUGAAAGCCCCGGGCUCAACCUGGGAACUGCAUUGGAAACUGGCAGCUCGAGUAUGGCAGAGGGGGGUGGAAUUCCGCGUGUAGCAGUGAAAUGCGUAGAGAUGCGGAGGAACACCGAUGGCGAAGGCAGCCCCCUGGGCCAAUACUGACGCUGAGGAGCGAAAGCGUGGGGAGCGAACAGG
Molecule: ribosomal RNA, 252 nt
Filed under: uncultured bacterium
Lineage: Bacteria
Description: partial 16S ribosomal RNA
Rfam family: Bacterial small subunit ribosomal RNA
Source: RNAcentral